Molecule: non-coding RNA, 74 nt
Filed under: Massilia sp. Leaf139
Lineage: Bacteria; Pseudomonadati; Pseudomonadota; Betaproteobacteria; Burkholderiales; Oxalobacteraceae
Also listed under: 1 other name
Description: SAH (S-adenosyl-L-homocysteine) riboswitch aptamer
Rfam family: SAH (S-adenosyl-L-homocysteine) riboswitch aptamer
Source: Rfam by way of RNAcentral
AAUUCCGAGGAGCGUUGCGACGAAAAGAUUCCUUUUCGCCAGGCUCGGAUAUCUCAACACUGCGCUCACGUUAC